GGAGAGGUGGCCGAGAGGCUGAAGGCACUCGCCUGCUAAGCGAGUUAGGGUCGAAAGAUGCUACGAGGGUUCGAAUCCCUCCCUCUCCG
This 89-nucleotide transfer RNA is filed under the name Candidatus Schekmanbacteria bacterium RBG_13_48_7. Its description in RNAcentral is "tRNA-Ser". It matches the Rfam family "tRNA". From Rfam's summary of the family: Transfer RNA (tRNA) molecules are approximately 80 nucleotides in length. Their secondary structure includes four short double-helical elements and three loops (D, anti-codon, and T loops). Further hydrogen bonds mediate the characteristic L-shaped molecular structure. tRNAs have two regions of fundamental functional importance: the anti-codon, which is responsible for specific mRNA codon recognition, and the 3' end, to which the tRNAs corresponding amino acid is attached (by aminoacyl-tRNA synthetases). tRNAs cope with the degeneracy of the genetic code in two manners: having more than one tRNA (with a specific anti-codon) for a particular amino acid; and 'wobble' base-pairing, i.e. permitting non-standard base-pairing at the 3rd anti-codon position. Lineage: Bacteria; Candidatus Schekmaniibacteriota. The record is from RNAcentral.